This 252-nucleotide long non-coding RNA is filed under the name Elaeis guineensis (African oil palm). RNAcentral's name for it is "long non-coding RNA (EGUI_LNC021467)". Lineage: Eukaryota; Viridiplantae; Streptophyta; Magnoliopsida; Arecales; Arecaceae. The record is from RNAcentral.
AGGGUCUGUCGGCAGUGGACUUCGGAUGGCGUUGGGGAGGUUCGUCCGCUGGAGGAGUCUGGAGGAUCCUGUGGAAGUCUGGCUGAUGCUAUUGAAGGUUGAUGGCUGGGGAGGUAUGACAGACAUCGGAGGUGGCCGGCCGUUGUAGAAAUCCAGCUGCUGGAGCCCGUCUGUUGUAGAAGUUCAUCCGAAAUCUAUCCACUAUGGGAGUUCAGACGGAGUCUGGUUCUUGUAGAAGUUCGGAUGGGGACC